CGGCUGACGAGCUCCACCUGCCCGGGUUUGUUGUUCGGAGUUUGCUCUCCUAGGCAGAUUGCCUACCACGGCUGACGAGCUCCACCUGCCCGGGUUUGUUGUUCGGAGUUUGCUCUCCUAGGUGAAUUGCCUACCACGGCUAACGACCUCCACCUGCCCGGGUUUGUUUAGAGUUUGCUCUCCUAGGUGAAUUGCCUACCACGGCUAACGACCUCCACCUGCCCGGGUUUGUUUAGAGUUUGCUCUCCUAGGUGAAUUGCCUACCACGGCUAACGAGCUCCACCUGCCCGGGUUUGUUUAGAGUUUGCUCUCCUAGGUGAAUUGCCUACCACGGCUAACGACCUCCACCUGCCCGGGUUUGUUUAGAGUUUGCUCUCCUAGGUGAAUUGCCUACCACGGCUGACGAGCUCCACCUGCCCGGGUUUAUUGUUCGGAGUUUGCUCUCCUAGGUGAAUUGCCUCCCACGGCUAACGACCUCCACCUGCCCGGGUUUGUAUAGAGUUUGCUCUCCUAGGUGAAUUGCCUACCACGGCUAACGAGCCUCACCUGCCCGGGUUUGUAUAGAGUUUGCUCUCCUAGGUGAAUUGCCUACCACGGCUAACGAGCCUCACCUGCCCGGGUUUGUAUAGAGUUUG
Molecule: long non-coding RNA, 635 nt
Organism: Eriocheir sinensis (Chinese mitten crab)
Lineage: Eukaryota; Metazoa; Arthropoda; Malacostraca; Decapoda; Varunidae
Exons: 5
Source: RefSeq, a predicted model, not a curated record